This 500-nucleotide ribosomal RNA is filed under the name uncultured bacterium. Its description in RNAcentral is "partial 16S ribosomal RNA". It matches the Rfam family "Bacterial small subunit ribosomal RNA", at positions 30 to 523 of the family's 1533-position model. The record is from RNAcentral.
AUUGAACGCUGGCGGCAGGCUUAACACAUGCAAGUCGAGCGGGGUGAUGGUGCUUGCACUAUCACUUAGCGGCGGACGGGUGAGUAAUGCGUCGGAACGUGCCGAGUAGUGGGGGAUAACGCAGCGAAAGUUGUGCUAAUACCGCAUACGUACUGAGGUAGAAAGUGGGGGACCUUCGGGCCUCACGCUAUUCGAGCGGCCGACGUCUGAUUAGCUAGUAGGUGAGGUAAAGGCUCACCUAGGCGACGAUCAGUAGCGGGUCUGAGAGGAUGAUCCGCCACACUGGGACUGAGACACGGCCCAGACUCCUACGGGAGGCAGCAGUGGGGAAUUUUGGACAAUGGGCGAAAGCCUGAUUCAGCCAUGCCGCGUGUCUGAAGAAGGCCCUCGGGUUGUAAAGGACUUUUGUCAGGGAGGAAAUCCCUAGUGCUAAUAACACUGGGGGAUGACAGUACCUGAAGAAUAAGCACCGGCUAACUACGUGCCAGCCGCCGCCGUAA